GGCGAACGCUGGCGGCGUGCUUAACACAUGCAAGUCGAACGGAAAGGCCCUGCUUUUGUGGGGUGCUCGAGUGGCGAACUGGUGAGUAACACGUGAGUAACCUGCCCUUGACUUUGGGAUAACUUCAGGAAACUGGGGCUAAUACCGGAUAGGAGCUCCUGCUGCAUGGUGGGGGUUGGAAAGUUUCGGCGGUUGGGGAUGGACUCGCGGCUUAUCAGCUUGUUGGUGGGGUAGUGGCUUACCAAGGCUUUGACGGGUAGCCGGCCUGAGAAGGUGACCGGCCACAUUGGGACUGAGAUACGGCCCAGACUCCUACGGGAGGCAGCAGUGGGGAAUAUUGCACAAUGGGCGGAAGCCUGAUGCAGCAACGCCGCGUGCGGGAUGACGGCCUUCGGGUUGUAAACCGCUUUCGCCUGUGACGAAGCGUGAGUGACGGUAAUGGGUAAAGAAGCACCGGCUAACUACGUG
RNAcentral lists this ribosomal RNA (468 nucleotides) under uncultured bacterium. RNAcentral's name for it is "partial 16S ribosomal RNA". It matches the Rfam family "Bacterial small subunit ribosomal RNA", at positions 28 to 507 of the family's 1533-position model. The record is from RNAcentral.